Molecule: microRNA precursor, 67 nt
Filed under: Bombyx mori (domestic silkworm)
Lineage: Eukaryota; Metazoa; Arthropoda; Insecta; Lepidoptera; Bombycidae
Description: mir-2774 microRNA precursor family
Rfam family: mir-2774 microRNA precursor family
Source: Rfam by way of RNAcentral
ACAACAUUGGGAUCGUCGGUCUACCGAGCAAUAUCUCCCGCUCGGUGGAAGAUCUUCCUGUUAUAGU